Molecule: unclassified non-coding RNA, 248 nt
Filed under: Scytalidium lignicola
Lineage: Eukaryota; Fungi; Ascomycota; Leotiomycetes
Description: partial internal transcribed spacer region
Rfam family: Eukaryotic small subunit ribosomal RNA (bases 1-46)
Source: RNAcentral
AAGUCGUAACAAGGUUUCCGUAGGUGAACCUGCGGAAGGAUCAUUACAGAGUUCAUGCCCUCACGGGUAGAUCUCCCACCCUUGCGUAUUCAUACCUUUGUUGCUUUGGCAGGCCGCCUGGGCUCAUGCCUGGCCACCGGCUCUCGGGCUGGUGCGUGCCUGCCAGAGGAUCUCCAAACUCCAGUUAUCAGUGUUGUCUGAGUCUUAUACAAUCGUUAAAACUUUCAACAACGGAUCUCUUGGUUCUG